RNAcentral lists this ribosomal RNA (256 nucleotides) under uncultured archaeon. Its description in RNAcentral is "partial 16S ribosomal RNA". It matches the Rfam family "Bacterial small subunit ribosomal RNA", at positions 521 to 776 of the family's 1533-position model. The record is from RNAcentral.
UAAUACGGAGGGUGCGAGCGUUGUCCGGAAUCACUGGGCGUAAAGGGCGCGUAGGUGGCGUGGUAAGCGUGCGGUGAAAGCCCGGGGCCCAACUCCGGGUCUGCCGUGCGAACUGCCGCGCUUGAGCACGGUAGAGGCCAAUGGAAUUCCGGGUGUAGCGGUGGAAUGCGUAGAGAUCCGGAAGAACACCGGUGGCGAAGGCGGUUGGCUGGGCCGUUGCUGACACUGAGGCGCGACAGCGUGGGGAGCAAACAGG